Dinoponera quadriceps is the source of this 669-nucleotide long non-coding RNA. RefSeq lists it as uncharacterized. Lineage: Eukaryota; Metazoa; Arthropoda; Insecta; Hymenoptera; Formicidae. The record is from RefSeq and is a predicted model, not a curated record. The transcript is spliced from 2 exons.
AUUGUUAUUUUCCUGACAUUGAGUCGAAAUAUGCAUGAUUGCAAUUUACGGGAAAUUAUAAAUCAUCGCGCCUCAUCGAUCGUAUUACUUUGGGACGUCCGACCUGCCAUUGAGUCGUACUACUUGAAUUCGAUUUCUCGAUAGAAACGGUAGCGACUCGUAGUGGAGAUUUUGGAACUAUGGGCUAUUCGUACAAGCAGAUUCCGCACUCUCUAUCUUAACGUCACAGAGGACGACAGCAAGCCGACGAAGCUGUUGAGACAGAAUAUUGGUAUGAGCGAAUUAUACAGAUCAAAGGUAUCGCAAGGAUAAACGCACAUAUAUAUCUGUCGUUGGAAGACGAACAAUAUGCCAUCACCUGUCGGGAAGAAGCAAAGAAGCGUCACCUACUGGGUCAUUAUACCGUUAAUAAUAGGUCUACACGUAGGUUGGUACUCUUUGCAACAGACUUACGUGUCGCCAAACGAAAGACACGAACAUCCACUGAUCAAGAUAUUUAAGAAAUAUACCGCAUAGGAGCGUGGAAUGUAUCAUGUUACGUGAUAAUUGUGGGAUAUGUUAUUUAUUAGAAAAUUUCUUUAUUAUAAGAGAUAUACAUACCGCGUUUGUUCCUACGUGCAAGUACAAACGUAAGUCUUGUUUGAAAUUGAAAUAAAGGUCUGAAAAUUA